RNAcentral lists this ribosomal RNA (515 nucleotides) under uncultured bacterium. RNAcentral's name for it is "partial 16S ribosomal RNA". It matches the Rfam family "Bacterial small subunit ribosomal RNA", at positions 28 to 523 of the family's 1533-position model. The record is from RNAcentral.
GAUGAACGCUGGCAGCGUGCCUAAUACAUGCAAGUCGAGCGAAUGGAUUAAGAGCUUGCUCUUAUGAAGUUAGCGGCGGACGGGUGAGUAACACGUGGGUAACCUGCCCAUAAGACUGGGAUAGCUCCGGGAAACCGGGGCUAAUACCGGAUAACAUUUUGAACCGCAUGGUUCGAAAUUGAAAGGCGGCUUCGGCUGUCACUUAUGGAUGGACCCGCGUCGCAUUAGCUAGUUGGUGAGGUAACGGCUCACCAAGGCAACGAUGCGUAGCCGACCUGGGAGGGUGGUCGGCCAGACUGGGACUGAGACACGGCCCAGACUCCUACGGGAGGCAGCAGUAGGGAAUCUUCCGCAAUGGACGAAAGUCUGACGGAGCAACGCCGCGUGAGUGAUGAAGGCUUUCGGGUCGUAAAACUCUGUUGUUAGGGAAGAACAAGUGCUAGUUGAAUAAGCUGACACCUUGACGGUACCUAACCAGAAAGCCACGGCUAACUACGUGCCAGCCGCCGCGGUAA